AAUUCUGCUUCAGGCUCUCCUUUUAACUCUGUGUGAUGUAAUAAACUAUGUAAACUGACUGGAAACUGUUACUGAUUGAAAUGGAGAGGAUAAACUGAAGGAAAACUGUUUCUUCACAAUCACUGUUGUUCUCUGGCUGACUAGAGAGAAGGAAUCUGAACCUGCUUAUAGUAAUGGAGGUAGAUACAGAGAAGUGCUGGGGGAUACUACACACACACAGAGAUGCUGGUACACAGGGGACACUCUGGGGUUUGCCUAUAGAUUCCUACUGAUUGCUGAUGGAUCAAUCUACUUCCUAAACCCCUUCCUCUCUCACUCCCUCCCUUAACCAACCUCUCCCUUUUGCCUCCCUCACCUCCGCUUUGAAGCCAUUGGCUCCUUCCCUCCCUCCUCAGUUAAUUAUAAUCAUAUUCUAGUUAUUUUCUCAGUCAAAGGGUUUAUUGGGAUAACAGGAUGGGAAACUAAGGUAAGAGGGAUGAGGAAUUUCCCUAAUCUAAAUGAGGUAAAAUUAAGGGUAUAGGAAGUCACAAGUGUGUCUCUUAGACAGUUAGAAAGAUGGAGGAUAACAGCAGUUCAAAAUCUUUCUUCUUUUUCACAAAUCAGCUAGAUCUCUCAGCUUAACCCCAGAAAGAAACAAAGUUAAAAAGUCUCUAAGUUUCUUCUUGGCCAGCUCAAAAGCCAAAUAGAUCACCAACUCAAAAGCUUCUCCCCUGGUCAGCUUCCACUACUCCGAGCCAGAGAUAAAGUCCAAAAGCCAAGUCAGCCUCACAAAAGUCUCUCAGCCAACUUCAAACCUCCAGGGAGCAAGUGUGUGUUCCCCAGUCAGAGAUCCAGAGACCAAAAGGCCCCCUGGUCAACUCCAACUGUUCAGAGCCAUAGAGAGAGACCAAGUUCAAAAGCCCAGUUUCUCCUCUCAGAGUGAGGCCAGCAAAAGCCUCUAGGGAAAAGAGUGACUUCCAGUGCCAGACACAGAGACCAAAAGCCCCUCCCUCAGCUCCAACUGCCACCAACCAGGGACAUUCUGUUGGAACCCUGACUUUUGCAUUCUUUACAUCUUGGUCCACAAGUCCUGCAAAAAUUUCUUUCUUCAUAUCUCUAUCACAAAAUAGUCAUGACAUCUACUGUCCCCAGGAACCAAAGACCUGCUUUUCUGGG
Molecule: long non-coding RNA, 1155 nt
Filed under: Monodelphis domestica (gray short-tailed opossum)
Lineage: Eukaryota; Metazoa; Chordata; Mammalia; Didelphimorphia; Didelphidae
Description: lncRNA (ENSMODG00000044826.1)
Source: RNAcentral